Molecule: ribosomal RNA, 777 nt
Filed under: uncultured Neocallimastigales
Lineage: Eukaryota; Fungi; Neocallimastigomycota; Neocallimastigomycetes; Neocallimastigales
Description: partial large subunit ribosomal RNA
Rfam family: Eukaryotic large subunit ribosomal RNA
Source: RNAcentral
UAUCUCUGUAGAGUCUGCAUAUCAAUAAGCGGAGGAAAAGAAACUAACUAGGAUUCCCUCAGUAACGGCGAGUGAAGCGGGAAGAGCUCAAAUUUGAAAUCUUCAAGGUUUUACCUUGACGAAUUGUAGUUUAAAGAAGUGUUUUCUGUUGGAGUUUUGGUAAAAGUUCUUUGGAAUAGGACAUCAUAGAGGGUGAGAAUCCCGUAUUUGACCAUUAUUUCCAGCUUUGUGAUACACUUUCAAAGAGUCGGAUUGUUUGGGAAUGCAGUCCAAAAUGGGUGGUAAAUUUCAUCUAAAGCUAAAUACUGGCGAGAGACCGAUAGCGAACAAGUACCGUGAGGGAAAGAUGAAAAGAACUUUGAAAAGAGAGUUAAACAGUACGUGAAAUUGUCAAAAGGGAAGCGUUUGACACCAGUGUUGUUUUCUCGAAAAUCAAUUAAAAAUGGCUGGGAUUUUGUGUUGUAUUGACUUUAUCAGCUUUCUGCUACUCUUUUCCUAUCUUUUUUAAUGCACUUUUCGUUUAACAAGUCAACAUCAAUUUCUUUUGUUGUAAAAGGAGUCAUUGGAAGGUGGCUUUCUUUUCGGAGAAAGUGUUUAUAGCCUUUGGCCUCUGCAAUCGGAGAGAUUGAGGUCUGCAGCGUAGAUCCUUCGGGGUUAGAUACAUUUGUGCUAAGUUAUAGCCUUUCAUAGACAACUUGUUGACUAUGAUCAGUCAUGUAGCUUACUCGCUUAUGCUAUUUUACCUACGCUUAGGAUGUUGAGUCAUCACACAUCUCU